RNAcentral lists this ribosomal RNA (260 nucleotides) under uncultured bacterium. RNAcentral's name for it is "partial small subunit ribosomal RNA". It matches the Rfam family "Bacterial small subunit ribosomal RNA", at positions 26 to 285 of the family's 1533-position model. The record is from RNAcentral.
AGGACGAACGCUGGCGGCGUGCUUAACACAUGCAAGUCGAACGGUGACGCUGGAGCUUGCUCCAGCUGAUCAGUGGCGAACGGGUGAGUAACACGUGAGCAACCUACCCUUGACUCUGGGAUAACCCCGGGAAACCGGAGCUAAUACCGGAUAUGAACCGCACGGGCAUCUACGCGGUUGGAAAGAUUUAUCGGUCAAGGAUGGGCUCGCGGCCUAUCAGCUUGUUGGUGGGUAAUGGCCCACCAAGGCGACGACGGGUA